This 350-nucleotide ribosomal RNA is filed under the name uncultured bacterium. RNAcentral describes it as "bacterial SSU rRNA". It matches the Rfam family "Bacterial small subunit ribosomal RNA", at positions 162 to 509 of the family's 1533-position model. The record is from RNAcentral.
AUUAAUACCCUAUGUUCUUCAAUGCGGACAUCUAAGUUGAAGCAAAGACUUGUCGCUAAGGGAUGGGGAUGCGUCUGAUUAGGUACGUAGGCGGGGUAACGGCCCACCUAGCCGACGAUCAGUAGGGUUCUGAGAGGAAGGUCCCCCACAUUGGUACUGAGACACGGACCAAACUCCUACGGGAGGCAGCAGUGAGGAAUAUUGGUCAAUGGACGGGAGUCUGAACCAGCCAAGUAGCGUGCAGGAUGACGGCCCUAUGGGGUUGUAAACUGCUUUUAUGCGGGGAUAAAGUCGCCCACGUGUGGGUGUUUGCAUGUACCGUAUGAAUAAGGACCGGCUAAUUCCGUGCC